AUUGAACGCUGGCGGCAGGCCUAACACAUGCAAGUCGAGCGGAUGAAGGGAGCUUGCUCCUGGAUUCAGCGGCGGACGGGUGAGUAAUGCCUGGGAAUCUGCCUGGUAGUGGGGGAUAACGUCCGGAAACGGGCGCUAAUACCGCAUACGUCCUGAGGGAGAAAGUGGGGGAUCUUCGGACCUCACGCUAUCAGAUGAGCCUAGGUCGGAUUAGCUAGUUGGUGGGGUAAAGGCCUACCAAGGCGACGAUCCGUAACUGGUCUGUGAGGAUGAUCAGUCACACUGGAACUGAGACACGGUCCAGACUCCUACGGGAGGCAGCAGUGGGGAAUAUUGGACAAUGGGCGAAAGCCUGAUCCAGCCAUGCCGCGUGUGUGAAGAAGGUCUUCGGAUUGUAAAGCACUUUAAGUUGGGAGGAAGGGCAGUAAGUUAAUACCUUGCUGUUUUGACGUUACCAACAGAAUAAGCACCGGCUAACUUCGUG
RNAcentral lists this ribosomal RNA (484 nucleotides) under uncultured bacterium. RNAcentral's name for it is "partial 16S ribosomal RNA". It matches the Rfam family "Bacterial small subunit ribosomal RNA", at positions 30 to 507 of the family's 1533-position model. The record is from RNAcentral.